GCCAGGUGUGGUGGCCAACGCCUGUAAUCCCAGCUACUUGGAGGCUGAGGCAGGAGAAUCGCUUGAACCAGGGAAGCGGAGGUUGCAGUGAGCUGAGAUCGUGCCACUGCACCCCAGCCUGGUGACAGAGUGAGAUUCCGUCUCAA
Unclassified non-coding RNA from Papio anubis (olive baboon), 146 nucleotides. It matches the Rfam family "Metazoan signal recognition particle RNA". From Rfam's summary of the family: The signal recognition particle (SRP) is a universally conserved ribonucleoprotein. It is involved in the co-translational targeting of proteins to membranes. The record is from Ensembl. Lineage: Eukaryota; Metazoa; Chordata; Mammalia; Primates; Cercopithecidae.